RNAcentral lists this ribosomal RNA (511 nucleotides) under uncultured bacterium. Its description in RNAcentral is "partial 16S ribosomal RNA". It matches the Rfam family "Bacterial small subunit ribosomal RNA", at positions 28 to 507 of the family's 1533-position model. The record is from RNAcentral.
GACAAACGCUGGCGGCAUGCCUAACACAUGCAAGUCGAACGGACAGAACAGGGAAGCUUUUCGGAGUGGAACUGGAAAGUUAGUGGCGGAUGGGUGAGUAACGCGUGGACAACCUACCUUGUAAAGGGGAAUAACCUCGAGAAAUCGAAGCUAAUACCCCAUAAUAACCUUGCUUCGCAUGAAGUAAGGAGGAAAGGCGGCCUUAGCGCUGUCGAUACAAGAUGGGUCCGCGUCUGAUUGGCUAGUUGGUGAGGUAAAGGCUCACCAAGGCGACGAUCAGUAGCCGGCCUGAGAGGGUGAACGGCCACAUUGGGACUGAGACACGGCCCAAACUCCUACGGGAGGCAGCAGUGGGGAAUCUUCCGCAAUGGGCGAAAGCCUGACGGAGCAAUGCCGCGUGAGUGAAGAAGGCCUUCGGGUUGUAAAACUCUGUCCUUAUCGAAGAGAGAGUGUUGUAGUAACUGACAAUACUAGGACGGUAGAUGAGGAGGAAGCCCCGGCUAACUAUGUG